RNAcentral lists this ribosomal RNA (26 nucleotides) under Distichophyllum carinatum. Its description in RNAcentral is "partial 18S ribosomal RNA". The record is from RNAcentral. Lineage: Eukaryota; Viridiplantae; Streptophyta; Bryopsida; Hookeriales; Daltoniaceae.
UAGGUGAACYUGCGGAAGGAUCAUUG